This 488-nucleotide long non-coding RNA is filed under the name Mytilus galloprovincialis (Mediterranean mussel). Lineage: Eukaryota; Metazoa; Mollusca; Bivalvia; Mytilida; Mytilidae. The record is from RNAcentral.
GCGGAACUAUAAUACAUAAAUACCUAGAAAGUUUACGAACAAGAUAGUUUGGUAAUCGGCAAAUGGUAACGGAAAUUCAAUGUCAAAACUGAUAACGUAUCUCUCGAGAAGUAAUUCUCUAAAUACAACUUGUUAUGGAACUAACAAGCCAACAUUAUACGGAAAUAGUCUGGUUAUUUCUGAUUAUUCAAUCGCUUGGAAUUAGCGUGUGUCACUUGCCCAGGGUAAAGUCGUACUGAAGCCUCUUAUCGGUUUUCUCCACCGUAUUUAUACUUAGGUAAACCAUUACCGAAAUGGUUUACAAUUUACCAUUUCGGCUUACCAUUUCCGCUUACCAUUUACCUAAAUUACCAAACCCAGAGCCGACGUCAUAGAAAAAUUAGGUUAUGACGUCAUUGGUGAACGUCAUUUAAAGUAAACAAUUCACAGCUGUUUCGUUUGUAAAAACAUGGACAAGAAUAAUAAAAAGUUAACAAACAUAGUUACAC